AAAAAAGCUAAAAUUUUACGAGUCUGAGAAGAAGAUCAGAGAGUCCAAAGAAAGUAAGAAACGAAUAAAGAUGAGCAGCGAAUUAAAAACGGUAAGGAAGAAGAAAGAUAUAGACUCCAUCGUCAGAGACACCAUCGACAAAGUCCUCGUCCUCCGCUUUGGCCGCUCAUCCGACGUCGUUUGCCUUCAUCUCGACGAUUUGCUAUCAAAAUCAGCUCGUCAAGUAUCAAAAUUCGCAAGUAUAGCAUUAGUAGAUAUUGAUUCAGAGGAUGUUCAAGUUUACGUUGAUUACUUCGACAUUACAUUUACACCUUCCACCGUGUUUUUCUUUAAUGCCCACCAUAUGAAGAUGGAUUCUGGGACUGCUGAUCAUACGAAAUGGAUUGGUGGUUUCCAAAACAAGCAAGACUUCAUUGACGUUGUUGAGGCCAUAUUUAGAGGAGCCAUGAACGGCAAGCUUAUUGUAAAUUGCCCUUUGCCUCCAGAGCAAAUACCAAAGUAUCAGUUGCUAUACAAGGACUUGUGAAAGGCAGCUUCUUUAGGUCUAAUGGUUUUAUUUAUUUUAGAGAGCAUCCUUCGAUAAGAGGUUGCUACUACCAACUGCUCGAGCAUUGCAUAGAUCAUCGAUACAAUCUCCUCUUUCAAAAACCGCUUCAGCUCCCAUACCUGUACCUGUAGUUAUAUUCAACGGUUGAGAUGGUUAGUCAUACAAUGGUGCUAACCAAUUAUCUACAGAGUUUAUCCACGUAUGAGUGCAAUAUAGAAAGAGAGGAAAAGAGAAAGAGACCUAUGCACAUCGAGAUUAAUCCAAAGCGACAGUCCUUCCCUCUGCGCUUCAUCUCAUGCAAAAGAGUAGCAACACUACGGGCACCUGCGCACCAACAGCAGCUAGUUUUGAGCUAAUGGCUAAAUGAUAAGUUUAUCAAGGUCAAUGUUAUCAAGUUCAAGUCCAGCAGCUUUUACUGCCGCUGGGAUCGCAACGGCUGGACCAAUUCCCAUCAGAGCAGGAUCUACGCCGACAGCUGCAAAACUCCUACACCAAAAGCAAUGUCACUUCUGAACUUUUUUCCCUUAUGCUCUUCCCUCUAUAUGCAUACUCCUUUGCUUUCAGUAUCUUACUUUCUCAAUAACUUCCCUAGGAUGUUUCUGGUGGAGACUUUAAUACAGAUUUAAAGCAACUCCACCAUGGAAAUCGUCUACCAACACAAGUCCAGGCAAACAGUUUUCUUAAAAAGUUAUAUAGCAUUUGCAUACAAAUAAUAAAACUGCCACGAUUUUCUAACAGGACUUGCUUCUGGUUGGUUGUAUAAUUGCCAUCUGAGUUUUGACAUGAUAUCAGAUAAACCUUUGUAUGAUUUCUCUGCAUAAUUUGACACUGUUUAUGUGACGAUUUCUCAGUUUCUUUCAUCGCAGACCACUUCGGAAUAUUUAGUAAGCAUCCUAAGUCCUAACUAGUGAUGAAAAAGGAACAGGGUUCAAUAUUUAUCUGGAUCAUGGAGAGCCAUUUUGGAUAUUUCGACACAGGAAUCAUUCCUCCGCACGGAACAUAAUUACCUGAACACACCAAGAAUUCGAAGACCCUUCUGCACAGCUAUACUUCUUUUUGUAAGAAGAACUGCGCCAGCACCAUCACUCAGUUGGCUAGAGUUACCUAAGAUAACACAAUAGCGAGAUGUCAAUUGCAUAAUUCUAAGGAGCAAAAAUAUUGAGCGGCUGAAUGUUAUCCAUAGUCAUGCACUCCAACCCAGCCCCAAUGCCUAAUGUUGUUAAAGAUAUAAAAACAAUUAGCUCAAAGAUGAGGGUCGCUUGUCAGAAUAGACACGAAAACACUCUUACCGAUAUCAUAAAACCCUGCUUUGAUGGAACCAGCAACAUCAGCAACUGCCUGCAGACCAGACGAGCAUUGUCUGUUGACUGUUCUGAUGGGCACCGUUUCUGUUUGUAACAUACGAGUCAUAUACAAAUUGGGAAGCUAAGUACUUUUAGAAACAUAGUCCUAAAUUUUCUGAUCAGCCUAAGAUAAAGUAUCUUCAGUUUUUAACACAGAAAACCAGUACUAUAAGUUGUUAAGGUAACUCAUGCUAUAGACAGAGUGUAUGAGAUUGUAUCAAUCUUUUUUCAUAAUACUAACAAAACUAUAUUCAUUCA
RNA transcript from Mercurialis annua (annual mercury), 2148 nucleotides. RefSeq lists it as uncharacterized. The transcript has 7 exons. Lineage: Eukaryota; Viridiplantae; Streptophyta; Magnoliopsida; Malpighiales; Euphorbiaceae. The record is from RefSeq and is a predicted model, not a curated record.